UAUUGGACAAUGGGGGAAACCCUGAUCCAGCGACGCCGCGUGGGUGAAGAAGGCCUGCGGGUUGUAAAGCCCUUUCGGUAGGGACGAAAGCUCUUGCCUUAAUACGGCAGGAGGUUGACUUAACCUACAUAAGAAGCACCGGCUAACUCUGUGCCAGCAGCCGCGGUAAUACAGAGGGUGCGAGCGUUAAUCGGAAUUACUGGGCGUAAAGCGCACGUAGUCGGCUUUGCAAGUCGGGUGUGAAAUCCCCGGGCUCAACCUGGGAACUGCAUCCGAGACUGCAUUGCUAGAGUAUGGGAGAGGGAAGCGGAAUUUCUGGUGUAGCAGUGAAAUGCGUAGAUAUCAGAAGGAACAUCAGUGGCGAAGGCGGCUUCCUGGACCAAUACUGACGAUCAGGUGCGAAAGCGUGGGGAGCAAACAGG
This 422-nucleotide ribosomal RNA is filed under the name uncultured bacterium. Its description in RNAcentral is "bacterial SSU rRNA". It matches the Rfam family "Bacterial small subunit ribosomal RNA", at positions 362 to 776 of the family's 1533-position model. The record is from RNAcentral.